GGCGGCGUGCCUAAUACAUGCAAGUCGAACGCUUCUUUUUCCACCGGAGCUUGCUCCACCGGAAAAAGAGGAGUGGCGAACGGGUGAGUAACACGUGGGUAACCUGCCCAUCAGAAGGGGAUAACACUUGGAAACAGGUGCUAAUACCGUAUAACAAUCAAAACCGCAUGGUUUUGAUUUGAAAGGCGCUUUCGGGUGUCGCUGAUGGAUGGACCCGCGGUGCAUUAUCUAGGUGGUGAGGUAACGGCUCACCAAGGCCACGAUGCAUAGCCGACCUGAGAGGGUGAUCGGCCACAUUGGGACUGAGACACGGCCCAAACUCCUACGGGAGGCAGCAGUAGGGAAUCUUCGGCAAUGGACGAAAGUCUGACCGAGCAACGCCGCGUGAGUGAAGAAGGUUUUCGGAUCGUAAAACUCUGUUGUUAGAGAAGAACAAGGAUGAGAGUAACUGUUCAUCCCUUGACGGUAUCUAACCAGAAAGCCACGGCUAACUACGUGCCAGCAGCCGCGGUAAUACGUAGGUGGCAAGCGUUGUCCGGAUUUAUUGGGCGUAAAGCGAGCGCAGGCGGUUUCUUAAGUCUGAUGUGAAAGCCCCCGGCUCAACCGGGGAGGGUCAUUGGAAACUGGGAGACUUGAGUGCAGAAGAGGAGAGUGGAAUUCCAUGUGUAGCGGUGAAAUGCGUAGAUAUAUGGAGGAACACCAGUGGCGAAGGCGGCUCUCUGGUCUGUAACUGACGCUGAGGCUCGAAAGCGUGGGGAGCAAACAGGAUUAGAUACCCUGGUAGUCCACGCCGUAAACGAUGAGUGCUAAGUGUUGGAGGGUUUCCGCCCUUCAGUGCUGCAGCUAACGCAUUAAGCACUCCGCCUGGGGAGUACGACCGCAAGGUUGAAACUCAAAGGAAUUGACGGGGGCCCGCACAAGCGGUGGAGCAUGUGGUUUAAUUCGAAGCAACGCGAAGAACCUUACCAGGUCUUGACAUCCUUUUGACCACUCUAGAGAUAGAGCUUCCCCUUCGGGGGCAAAGUGACAGGUGGUGCAUGGUUGUCGUCAGCUCGUGUCGUGAGAUGUUGGGUUAAGUCCCGCAACGAGCGCAACCCUUAUUGUUAGUUGCCAUCAUUCAGUUGGGCACUCUAGCAAGACUGCCGGUGACAAACCGGAGGAAGGUGGAUGACGNUCAAAUCAUCAUGA
This 1188-nucleotide ribosomal RNA is filed under the name Enterococcus faecium. RNAcentral describes it as "bacterial SSU rRNA". It matches the Rfam family "Bacterial small subunit ribosomal RNA", at positions 38 to 1198 of the family's 1533-position model. Lineage: Bacteria; Bacillati; Bacillota; Bacilli; Lactobacillales; Enterococcaceae. The record is from RNAcentral.